Long non-coding RNA from Lagopus muta (rock ptarmigan), 1929 nucleotides. RefSeq lists it as uncharacterized. NCBI's taxonomy places the organism in Eukaryota, Metazoa, Chordata, Aves, Galliformes, Phasianidae. The record is from RefSeq and is a predicted model, not a curated record. The transcript has 3 exons.
CACUCCUCAUGGAGAAUAUUGCAGGCCUACAAUAUUACCCCCCUUUAGAUACUGAAAGGCUGCUCUCAGCUCUCCCCAGUGCCGGAUCUUCUCCAUGCUGAACAGCCCCAGCUCUCUCAGCCUGUCCUCAUAGGAGAGGUGCUCCAUCCCUUGUAUCGUGUUUGUGGUCCUCCUCUGGGUGUGCUCCAACAUGCCAACAUCUCUCCUGUGCUGAGGACUCCACAUCUGGAUUCAGCACUCCAGGUAUGUCAUCUGCAAGCUUUCUGAAGGUUUACUUGAUCCUACAGUCAUCAUCAUCAAUGAAAAUAUUAAAGAGCAUCAGCCCCAGUAAUGACCCCUGUGGGACACCACUCUUCACCAUCUCCAUCCAAACUAUUGACCACGACUCUCUGGGUAUGAUUUCACAGCCAAUUCCUCAUCUGCCGAGCAGUCCAUACAUUUUCAUAAAUUACCAAUUCUCUCCACACCUAGGUAUUUCAUAAAUUGCCUAGUGACAGCAAAGCCAUCUUCAUUUCAACAUCAAAGCGUUUUUUAUGCAUUUAAGACAAUACACAUAAACCGAAGGAAGAAAAUCCCUCAGCCAAAAAAUUACUAUCUGCAAAAAAAGUUGGGGUAGUCCUUCAACCAAGAAAUGACUAUUUGCAAACAAAUGGAAUAGAAGAUAUUUAGAGUUAAUGACCUGAAGGAACAUAUUUUUAUACAUCCAUGUUUGUCUUCUUACUUUUUGAUGUUCUUAAAAUUAUAUCGCAGGUAUUAUUUUUCAGGCUUGUGUGAAAACUCAAAUAUAAAACUAUUGAACUUUCAGAGUCUGUCACACAACUUUGCUUAUUUUUGUCUGCCAUGAAUUGAUUUCAUAUGGGAAAGUUUGCUGGAAGUAGAGAUGAAAAUGUCACUACAAGUUCGCUGCAGAAAGAAAAGCUUAUUUUUCUUUGAACACUUUUUUUUUUUUUUCCGGAACUGCCUUGCUUCUGCACUAAGUAAGUUUACUAACUUUAAUCCACCAACAAAUGAACUUUAUUCAACCAAAAUAUCUGUGUACUUUGUACAAAAUGAAUUUUCUUAUGUAGGCCCAGGACUACUGGAUGUUGUCAAGGCAAAUACUUCAUGGCACCAUACUUCCUUUUCUUGCUUUGGUCAGUUUUCAAGAAUAGUAGAAAAAUACGUAGUGUAAUAGAUAGAAUUGAAACAGGUGUAAGAAUGAUAUUUUCACAACAUUUCUAAUUUGAAAACCAAAUUUUCCCUCCCUUUGAUGUCUUCUGGCAUUCUGACUGAGAUAAAUGCAUAUAUAUAUAUUUGGUGCAGAUCUUUAUACCUGCAAGAGUCUCAAGAGGAAAUCAUACUUCCUAAAUUGUAAAUACUGAAGACAAGAUGGCAGUAGUACAGCUUUAAAAACCAUUCUUUCUCUAAAACCAUCAUACAAUAUGGUGCAGAAUAAAAUAUUUUGCCUCAUUAUCCUUUAGCAGUAUUUACAGAUGUUAUAUUUCUAAAUGAAAUGAUUUUCUUUUUAAAGAAUGAAGACAAAAAAUGAAAAUUCUCUCUCCAGACUAAUGCACAGCUUACCAUUAAGGGUAAUGGCUUUUGAUGAGGAGGAGCCUCAUACUGAAACAGAUUCCUGGAAUUCCAUAACCACUUGUACUAACGUUAAAUCAUUUCAAAGCAAAAACAAAAAGAACAGUACAGAUCUGUAAGAAGGAUCCACAAAAAGAAGUCUGAAACACCACUGAGACCAUUUAAUUUAGAGCUGAAAAACUGAAGGACACUCCAGAAUUCUGCAGUUAAGUGAAAAGCUUAUUAGUAAAAAAAAAGAAAAAAGACUGUAAUAUUCAUGUGUGGGGUGCAAAAAGAGAAAGCAAUGCACUUAAAUUUGGAGAAAUGAUAUUUAGACUACAAAAAGUUUUAAAAUGUUGAGAAUUUUAGUAAAAAUGUUGU